UACGUAGGGUGCGAGCGUUAAUCGGAAUUACUGGGCGUAAAGCGUGCGCAGGCGGUUUUUUAAGCCAGAUGUGAAAUCCCCGGGCUUAACCUGGGAACUGCAUUUGGAACUGGAAGACUAGAGUAUAGCAGAGGGAGGUAGAAUUCCACGUGUAGCAGUGAAAUGCGUAGAUAUGUGGAGGAAUACCGAUGGCGAAGGCAGCCUCCUGGGUUAAUACUGACGCUCAUGCACGAAAGCGUGGGGAGCAAACAGG
RNAcentral lists this ribosomal RNA (253 nucleotides) under uncultured bacterium. RNAcentral's name for it is "partial 16S ribosomal RNA". It matches the Rfam family "Bacterial small subunit ribosomal RNA", at positions 524 to 776 of the family's 1533-position model. The record is from RNAcentral.